Molecule: long non-coding RNA, 785 nt
Filed under: Marmota monax (woodchuck)
Lineage: Eukaryota; Metazoa; Chordata; Mammalia; Rodentia; Sciuridae
Source: RNAcentral
GUUUUCGGUAGACACAACAUCUUUAUUUUUAUGAGGUCCUGAGGAUGGAACCCAGCGCCACGCGCAUGCCAGGCGUUUUACCGCUUGAGCCACAUCCCCAGCCCAAGACUGAUUUUUUUAAUAGUAUCAAAUUUGGGAUCCUCAAAUUUGAUGUUAGGGAAACAUAUUCAUGUUUGCUUUAUCACACAUUUUUUAAGCUUAAAAAGCUCUUUCCAGCACUUGCUGAUACUCUGGGUAGUAUCAGCAGGUCCUCCAGAUGCUUAUCGCUUAGAUUUGUAUUCCCUAAUUCUGUCCAGAAGAGUUUCCGUAGAAGGUCAAGUUCCUUAUUAAAUGCCUCCGCAGUAACAUCCAUUUUCCUCCGCAAAAGUGCGGACAGAGAGAGAGCAGCGUUAGCGCAGUCCGCUCCCGACAUCAUAUUGAUAUAUAUUUACAAGAUUAUUUAUUGUUGGUAAUGCUUCAUAAAAAAUAAUAUCUACAUACUUGAAAAAAGAAUACAAGCCCUCCCUGUCAUCACCAUUAUUAUUUUCAGAGAUGACGAAUCAGCAAGGAUAAUCAUUCUCUUCAAAAAGUGUUCUGCAAUAUCAACUUCUUGUCCAAGUAUUAUUUGUUGUUCCAUAGUAGAAUUUUGUUGAGAAGUUUUACAGCGGGCUCAGGGAGCAAAUACGGUCUCAAGACUGUGCCUUCCGAAUAAAACAGUCCAGCCUCGGGGCUGUCCACGGCGAGGGGCCGAUGGGGGGAGGAACGCAAGAACAGACUGUACGCAGGCGGAACUAAGAACCCGGCUG